GCACAACGCGAAGAACCUUACCAAGGCUUAAAUGCAGACUGACCGGUUUGGAAACAGACCUUUCGCAAGACGGUCUACAAGGUGCUGCAUGGUUGUCGUCAGCUCGUGCCGUGAGGUGUUGGGUUAAGUCCCCGCAACGAGCGCAACCCCUAUGUUUAGUUGCCAGCACGUAACGGUGGGGACUCUAAACAGACUGCCUGUGCAAACAGAGAGGAAGGAGGGGACGACGUCAAGUCAUCAUGGCCCUUACGUCCGGGGCUACACACGUGCUACAAUGUCCAGUACAAUAUGAACCGAUACCGCGAGGUGGAGGAAAUCUCAAAAACUGGGCUCAGUUCGGAUUGUAGGCUGCAACUCGCCUACAUGAAGUUGGGAUCGCUAGUAAUGGUGCAUCAGCUACGGCACCGUGAAUACGUUCCCGGGUCUUGUACACACCG
RNAcentral lists this ribosomal RNA (437 nucleotides) under uncultured bacterium. Its description in RNAcentral is "bacterial SSU rRNA". It matches the Rfam family "Bacterial small subunit ribosomal RNA", at positions 954 to 1392 of the family's 1533-position model. The record is from RNAcentral.